AUGUUCAGAGGCAGCAAUGGACUGGCCCCUGUAUUCACUUUAGUUCCAAGCAUUUUGCCAGUGAAGAUACUAAUUGUGCAAGCUUAUAUACAUGGAUAUGAGCAGAAUCUGACAACACCACCACAUGGCACGUUUAUGCAUUUGAGCCAUAUGACUUGUCAAUUAAUUGUCUUCUCUGGACAACCAAAUGCCCAUAAUGGAAUUCUUCAACUUGCCCGCUGCUUGGAUGUUGCGCCCCGACUGGUGAAGUUGCAUUUGGAUAUGGUAUAUCUGAACCUUGACGACGGUGGGAGUGAUGAGGUGAUGGAGGAGGAGGAAGUGGUGAAUGCUCAAACAAAGUUUGGCGUCGACCGCGCCGAUGGUGGUAUCGUAUAUUCAUAUGUAAUACUGAUGAUGGUGGGUGCUGUAAGCCAGUUCGCCGGGUUUCUUGAGAGUCUGUCGUGCAAAGAGAUAAUGAUGUCAGUGUGA
Molecule: ribosomal RNA, 468 nt
Filed under: Triticum aestivum (bread wheat)
Lineage: Eukaryota; Viridiplantae; Streptophyta; Magnoliopsida; Poales; Poaceae
Description: partial small subunit ribosomal RNA
Source: RNAcentral